UAAAAAUUAUGAAGAUUUAGCAAUAUGGCGGGGGUAUGAUGUAUAUUACGAUAUUAUGAUGAACUAUAUGCCCUUCUCCACCAAUGUUGUUUAAAGCGUUUGUAAGGAUACUGAUUGUUAUAAGUCAGCUGUCUGACUCUGAGAUGGCGAACGGGAACAUGGUUUGUGUAACAUUAGCAACACAUUAUUAGCUGUUGAUAACAUAGUCACAGGGAAAAAAACAUUUAAAUGUGUAAUUUUGGUGAUCAUAGAUGAGUUUUAAGGGAUAAAAUUAUUGAGGGGGACUUUAAAACUUCAUUUACGACAGUAAUGUUGUGAUGGAGUUGUGUUGUGCAGCUGGGAAGAACAAUGUUGGGGGGUGUCUACUAAACUUGGUACACAGAAUAUAAGAUGGGUUGUGAAGUAUCAGAGACCAAUGAUAACAUUUUAUUAAUAUUUUAUUUAGUGAAAAACUUUCCUAGUACCAGGAAUUGCUCAGUUAUUAAACAUUUAAAAAAAAACAAAAAAAACUAAAUCAUGUGUACUGAUGGCCUUUAACAGAAUACACCGAUUUACAACCUUGGAGCUCACGGAAGAUCUGUCUUUUAAGGUUUAUAAGUUAUCAUUUAUAUCAGUUCCCCUAUAGAGACAAUGAUAGAGUAUAUGAUGUUGUAUAUUACUAUUUCCCUCUUUUGAAAUACAGAAAAGCUGGAUUAAUUCAAAAUAAGUGAUAUAGCAUUUUAUAGGCUAAUAUAAGUGAUAUAGCAUUUUAAGUCCUUUCAUUUAGGACAAAGAUGGAUACUUUUGUGAAAUAGUGUUGAAUUGAAAAUCUUAACAAAUUGUAAACAUUUAGAUUUCUAUUGAGAUUAAAUAAAAGUUUUAUUUACACAGCAAAUAUUAUGCUUGACCCAUUAUGUUAGAGACUUUCAUGUAUAUUGUGUACGUACAUUUAUAUGAUAUAUAAUUAAUGUCAAUCAUUUUUCCAGAUGUGCAUUUAGGUUUUCCUUUUUGAACUUUCUCCACAGUGAAACCGCGAGUCAGACUCAUUCAGAAAGCAAACUCAGAUUCUGGAGGGUUUGGUGUGAGUUGUUUGGCGACAGGAUUUUACCCUCGUCACAUCAACCUGACCCUGUUCAGAGAUGGACAGCCUGUAUCUGAUCAUGAGAUCACUGGAGGAGAUCUGCUGCCCAAUGGUGACGGGACGUACCAGAUGAGGAAGAGUCUGGAGAUCAGUGCAGACAAACACAAAUACACCUGCUCUGCCACACACCUCAGUCUGGACAACAAACUGGACGUCACUUUGGAGUUUGAUCACAGGGAACCAUUUAAUUUGGUGAUUCCUUCAGUUCUGAUGGUUUUGACUCUGAUGGUGUUUGGAGCUGCAACUGCUAUAACUGCAUGGAAAAGACGACGUGCAGCUUUUGGUGUUUAGAUUCCAUUAAAAGUGCUUAUUCUACUGCUUCUGCAUCUGAAGAAAAUGAGGACACAAAAUUAAAGAUUAUGUCAGUGUCAGGAGACAAAACGACAGUGAUGAGUGCAUGGAGAAACGUCAUACAACAGCAGACAAAAUAUAUUCUGGCAAAGUGUGAUAAGGGUUUCUUUUUUUCCCCAAGAGGGUUUUUUUUUUUAUUUUUUUUUACCAGUUUUGCAUAUUCUAUUCAGUAAACUUAUGUGACUACACAACUCCUACUAUUAUUUACUGGUUAAGACCUAAAAUAUCAACAGUACUAUGUGUGCAAUUCUAGUCGUUCAUUGUUAAUCAAACCUUUUGAUUUGCUGACCUAAAAUGGAAAGCUGUAAAAAGGUUUCAUGCCACCUACUACCAUGAUUAUUCAUUUAAUUGUUGGUGUUUUAAUAGUGUAAUGUCUGUGUAUCCUUCAAUGUCACACAUUUUAUUGUUGUGAUAUUGUAUUAUUACUGUAAUAUAUUAAAAAAAUUAAAAAUUUAUUUUCUUGAGAAAGGUCAUUCUUUCAACCACAG
Molecule: long non-coding RNA, 1959 nt
Organism: Megalobrama amblycephala (Wuchang bream)
Lineage: Eukaryota; Metazoa; Chordata; Actinopteri; Cypriniformes; Xenocyprididae
Exons: 4
Source: RefSeq, a predicted model, not a curated record